This 72-nucleotide transfer RNA is filed under the name Grammatorcynus bilineatus (double-lined mackerel). RNAcentral describes it as "tRNA-Asp". It matches the Rfam family "tRNA". Rfam says of the family: Transfer RNA (tRNA) molecules are approximately 80 nucleotides in length. The record is from RNAcentral. Lineage: Eukaryota; Metazoa; Chordata; Actinopteri; Scombriformes; Scombridae.
AAAAUACUAGUAAAACUACCAUUACACUGCCUUGUCAAGGCAGAAUUGUGGGUGGAAUUCCCGCGUAUUUUG